Molecule: non-coding RNA, 3087 nt
Organism: Peromyscus maniculatus bairdii (prairie deer mouse)
Lineage: Eukaryota; Metazoa; Chordata; Mammalia; Rodentia; Cricetidae
Source: RefSeq, a predicted model, not a curated record
GCCUGUUCUGAAUGCUCUCCUGACAGUCUCUGGGAAAGGAUGGGCCUUCUUGGUUAGGUGGAGGAUGCUGGUGGACCAUCCAGCAGGUCCCUACUCUAAUCUCUGCCAUUUAUAACCAUCAGGGAAAAGCUGAGCUACAAGGAAGGAUGCUGUUCUCGCGGAACCACUGGCAUUUGAGCGUCUGAAGGAGCUGCCAGCCCUGAAGACCUGGCCACAACUUGAAUGUGUCUUUUCCAAACCAUGAACUGCUACUUUUUCUUUUCUAAAUCAAUGUGUCAUGUUUUUGCUUAAAAGAAGAGAAGGAAAUGGGGAAAGGAAGGAAAGACUGUAACGGCACAGACAUGGGAGAUCCAAGAUGGCCUGCACCGUCACUGACCUCAUUGCCACCGGGUGUGUGUGUGUGAGUGUGUGUGUGUGCAUAUGUGUGUGUGCAUGCAUGUGUGUGUGCGUGUGUGCGUGCGCAUGUGUGUGUGUGUGUGUGUGUCUGCUGCUGCACAGGCCAUACUUUGAACAACAAUGAAUAAAUCUGGCUACUCCAUCUGGCACGUUCCCUUUGGAGCCACCCAGUGUCAAAGCUAAUCUGGACACGCCUUCCAAGGAAUAAAUAGUCAUGACAGGAUGGAAAAGCACACACUGAGUGCUUGACCCAUACCAGACACUACGCUGAACAUAGCUGCGCUACACUGACUCGUUUAUACUUCGUAGUACCCGCUGGGGUGGUGGCUCAGUGGCUGCUUGCUCUUCAAAGUCACGGCGUGGUGGCAACUGUUGGCUCGAUGUGUGGAAGGGGCUAGUACUACCUUUCAUCUUAAACAGACGGGAGAUGCUGGCUUCUGGAGAACCCUACUGUGUGAGGGGCUAGGCAUGUAGAGACAGAGACAGCAAAGAAGGGACAGGGUGCUGUCUUCAGUGGUGGCAGCAUAUUAGCUAGAGAGACACUGUCUCCCCACCACAGCACCUGCUCGCUUAUCUCUGGCAGCAGCUCAGCAUGCACAGGGAGCGAAGAACUCGAUGAUGGAUUACAGCACCCUGACCCCCAUAUGGUAGCGGGGAGAUGCUCCCAGCCCACACCUGUGCAGGGAAGCACCCGGGAAGGUGCCGUGCCCAGCUUCACGGGGAGACAGCAUUGGUUAUAAGGGGAAAGUCUGGCAGGGGCAGAACGUGUAUGUGCAACUUGGAAUAUCACCGAGGACGUAGCGGCAAGUGUCUUCCCUCCGCGUGAGCCUGGAAAAAUGGCUGCACCAUCAGGACCCAUUUGACACUCAGCAAAGAGCAGGUGGCUCCUGGCUCGCCUUCCCUUUGGGGCUGCUUGAAGGUUUCCCAAAUGGCCUUGUGUGUAUUUCCCACACUUCUGGUGGCAGAAGACAAAUCUGGAUGGAACCCAAAAGGAGAUUUUUAUUCUAACCGCGCUUGUGAUCUUAGGUGCAUUCAAAAAUGAGGCUAGUGACUUGUUCUCUCCCUUCCUCUGCUCCCUUUUACCUGGGUACCAGGGACAAGGCUGUGGGUUGGUGAGGCAAGCACCAGAGUCUGGGGACACUGCCUGCGGCGGGGCACUGCCUGGUAGGGUGGUCAGGGUCAAUCUCCCUAAAAAGGAGAUAAGAGUGUAGAUGAGAGUUUAGGGAGGGGAGUCCUAGAGAGAUGGAGCGGCUGGUACCGAGGGCCACAUGAGGAGCAGCGUUGGCACAUUCAGGGGACCGAGGGAAGGCUGGGGCAGCCGAAAUGUCACAUAGAGGAUGGUUCAAAACCAAGUUUCAUAAAUGCCAGUGGCCAGCAGAAGCGAGACCACACGGGACUGCGAAAGGCGGGAGUUGGAGACCUUGGGGGGAGGGGGUUCACCUAAUACAAAAGGGAGCUUCGGAGUCUUAAGUGGCUGAGUCACACAGUGUCACACUCCCGGCUACGGCUACGCAGAAUUUAAGUGGGAAGAGCCAGGAACCAGAACAACAGCACAAACACAUAUCGAAACAAUGCAAGAAAGGAUGAUGGAAAUAAAGACUUUAGCUAUUAAAAACACAUGCAAGAAAAUCAUGGUGAUUUAUAAUGGCCUCAGACCACCCACCAACUGUAAACCAUAUAAAAAAAUUUGUAUUAAAUUCAUACAACGGACUACUACACAGCCAGGAAGAGGGUAGACUGCCACUAUCCACAAUAACAUGAAGGGACCUUCCUGACAUGAUAUGGAGACUACAGAGUCAUAAUGGUCUAUUCUGUGUGAUUCUGUUUACAGGAAGCUCUGAAUGGACAAAAAUAAUCCUUGGUGAGGGGGGAGGCUAUAGACACCCCAGUAUCCUUGGGGUGACUGUGAUUGAGAGGCAUAAUGAGAGUCUGCCAGGGGCUAAGGGAUGUUCCUGCACAUGAUCCAUGGCGUGGUUGUGUGUGAUCAGACAUAAAAUCUGCACAUCUGUGUCCUUCAGAUCUAUGCUGCUGAUAGCAGGCAUUAGACCUCUAUUUUUAAAAGAAAAAAAACAUUGAAAAUGAAAAAAAUGAAGGUAGAAGGGUCAGGCUGUCAGCCAUGCAUAGAAAGAAAAGGUGCAGGGAGACUCGGAAGGCUAAGCCCAGCCGUCCCUGAGCAGUUUGGAAGAGAAAUUGGUCUCCCGGGGCCGUGGCUGCUCAUUUUCUAACCUGUGAGCAGGACAUUCUCUCAUAGCAUCUGUCACAGCAAAACCAGGGCGGGCCCCGCGGCAAAUGCGGCCCAAGAGAAUUUCCAGAGAGUGAUGGAAAGUUCCCGCAUGAGUCCUGCGUGGCCGACUUCAGUUCCUAGGCAGAGCUAUGGGAACCAGAGUGGCAGGUUCACAAGGGAACCCUCCACAUUGUCCAGGGAGCUGCUGGCAGCACUGGCUGGUUCUCAAUGCCUUUGGAUGUCUGCUUCCCAGCAUGCCUCACUGGAAGGGCUGGGGAGCCACAGGGCUGAGGCUAACCAUCUCUUUCUGGACAGCACAGCGGGUCCGUGCUCUAAGCCACACCCACAAGGCGGCAAGGGCUGGUUACCAGACGCAGUCAUGCAAAGCUCCCGCUCUUCCCUGCACACACACACACACACACACACACACACACACACACACACACACACACACACACACACACAUU